GGAUAACCUGCCCUAAGGAAGGGGAUAACCUCGGGAAACUGAGGAUAAUACCCUAUAGGUUACAGACGCUGGAAUGCCCUGUAACCGAAAGUUCCGGCGCCUUAGGAUGGAUCUGCGGCCGAUUAGGUUGUUGUUGGGGUAACGGCCCAACAAGCCGAUAAUCGGUACGGGUUGUGGGAGCAAGAGCCCGGAGUUGGAUUCUGAGACACGAAUCCAGGCCCUACGGGGCGCAGCAGGCGCGAAAACUUUACAAUGCGGGAAACCGUGAUAAGGGAACCUCGAGUGCCUGUAUAUGCAGGCUGUCCAGGUGUCUAAAAAACACCUGAAGAAAGGGCCGGGCAAGUCCGGUGCCAGCCGCCGCGGUAAUACCGGCGGCUCGAGUGGUGGCCACUUUUAUUGGGCUUAAAGCGUUCGUAGCUGGGUUGUUAAGUCUCUUGGGAAAUCUGGCGGCUUAACCGUCAGGCGUCCGAGGGAUACUGGCAAUCUUGGAACCGGGAGAGGUGAGGGGUACUUCGGGGGUAGGAGUGAAAUCCUGUAAUCCUCGAGGGACCACCUGUGGCGAAGGCGCCUCACCAGAACGGCUUCGACAGUGAGGGACGAAAGCUGGGGGAGCAAACCGGAUUAGAUACCCGGGUAGUCCCAGCCCUAAACGAUGCGCGUUAGGUGUAUCGGUGACCACGAGUCACCGAGGUGCCGAAAGGGAAACCGUGAAACGUGCCACCUGGGAAGUACGGCCGCAAGGCUGAAACUUAA
This 753-nucleotide ribosomal RNA is filed under the name Methanomicrobiales archaeon enrichment culture. Its description in RNAcentral is "bacterial SSU rRNA". It matches the Rfam family "Archaeal small subunit ribosomal RNA", at positions 102 to 859 of the family's 1478-position model. The record is from RNAcentral. Lineage: Archaea; Methanobacteriati; Methanobacteriota; Methanomicrobia; Methanomicrobiales.